GGGUUGUGAGGUUAAGCGACUAAGCGUACACGGUGGAUGCCCUGGCAGUCAGAGGCGAUGAAGGACGUGCUAAUCUGCGAUAAGCGUCGGUAAGGUGAUAUGAACCGUUAUAACCGGCGAUUUCCGAAUGGGGAAACCCAGUGUGAUUCGUCACACUAUCAUUAACUGAAUCCAUAGGUUAAUGAGGCGAACCGGGGGAACUGAAACAUCUAAGUACCCCGAGGAAAAGAAAUCAACCGAGAUUCCCCCAGUAGCGGCGAGCGAACGGGGAGCAGCCCAGAGCCUGAAUCAGUGUGUGUGUUAGUGGAAGCGUCUGGAAAGGCGCGCGAUACAGGGUGACAGCCCCGUACACAAAAAUGCACAUGCUGUGAGCUCGAUGAGUAGGGCGGGACACGUGGUAUCCUGUCUGAAUAUGGGGGGACCAUCCUCCAAGGCUAAAUACUCCUGACUGACCGAUAGUGAACCAGUACCGUGAGGGAAAGGCGAAAAGAACCCCGGCGAGGGGAGUGAAAAAGAACCUGAAACCGUGUACGUACAAGCAGUGGGAGCACGCUUAGGCGUGUGACUGCGUACCUUUUGUAUAAUGGGUCAGCGACUUAUAUUCUGUAGCAAGGUUAACCGAAUAGGGGAGCCGAAGGGAAACCGAGUCUUAACUGGGCGUUAAGUUGCAGGGUAUAGACCCGAAACCCGGUGAUCUAGCCAUGGGCAGGUUGAA
RNAcentral lists this ribosomal RNA (715 nucleotides) under Escherichia coli. RNAcentral describes it as "bacterial LSU rRNA". It matches the Rfam family "Bacterial large subunit ribosomal RNA", at positions 1 to 749 of the family's 2925-position model. Lineage: Bacteria; Pseudomonadati; Pseudomonadota; Gammaproteobacteria; Enterobacterales; Enterobacteriaceae. The record is from RNAcentral.